UACGGAGGGUGCAAGCGUUAUCCGGAUUCACUGGGUUAAAGGGUGCGUAGGAGGGCAGGUAAGUCAGUGGUGAAAUCUCCAAGCUUAACUUGGAACUGCCGUUGAUACUAUCUGUCUUGAAUACCGUGGAGGUGAGCGGAAUAUGUCAUGUAGCGGUGAAAUGCUUAGAUAUGACAUAGAACACCAAUUGCGAAGGCAGCUCGCUACACGAAUAUUGACUCUGAGGCACGAAAGCGUGGGGAUCAAACAGGAUUAGAUCC
RNAcentral lists this ribosomal RNA (260 nucleotides) under uncultured bacterium. Its description in RNAcentral is "partial 16S ribosomal RNA". It matches the Rfam family "Bacterial small subunit ribosomal RNA", at positions 524 to 785 of the family's 1533-position model. The record is from RNAcentral.